RNAcentral lists this transfer RNA (63 nucleotides) under Paradoxopsyllus custodis. RNAcentral's name for it is "tRNA-Tyr". The record is from RNAcentral. RNAcentral also lists the same sequence under 1 other name. Lineage: Eukaryota; Metazoa; Arthropoda; Insecta; Siphonaptera; Leptopsyllidae.
GAUAAAAUGGCUGAGGUAUAGGCAAUAAAUUGUAAAUUUAUGAACGGAAUAAUCCUUUUAUCA